GAAAUGCGAUAAGUAAUGUGAAUUGCAGAAUUCAGUGAAUCAUCGAAUCUUUGAACGCACCUUGCGCUCCUUGGUAUUCCUUGGAGCAUGCCUGUUUGAGUAUCAUGAAAUCUUCAAAGUAAAUCUGUUGUUAACUCAAUUGGUUUCUACUUUGGUAUUGGAGGUCUUUGCAGCUUCACACCUGCUCCUCUUUGUUCAUUAGCUGGAUCUCAGUGUUAUGCUUGGUUCCACUCGGCGUGAUAAGUUAUCUAUCGCUGAGGACACUGUAAAAGGUGGCCAAGGUAAAUGCAGAUGAACCGCUUCUAAUAGUCCAUUGACUUGGACAAUACUUUUAUGAUCUGAUCUCAAAUCAGGUAGGACUACCCGCUGAACUUAAGC
This 378-nucleotide unclassified non-coding RNA is filed under the name plant metagenome. RNAcentral's name for it is "partial contains 5.8S ribosomal RNA, internal transcribed spacer 2, and large subunit ribosomal RNA". The stretch from base 1 to 105 matches the Rfam family "5.8S ribosomal RNA", at positions 50 to 154 of the family's 154-position model. The record is from RNAcentral.